UCACCAUGUGGCUUGUCUUGUACUUUGGGC
Molecule: non-coding RNA, 30 nt
Filed under: Mus musculus (house mouse)
Lineage: Eukaryota; Metazoa; Chordata; Mammalia; Rodentia; Muridae
Source: RNAcentral